RNAcentral lists this ribosomal RNA (306 nucleotides) under Triticum aestivum (bread wheat). RNAcentral describes it as "partial small subunit ribosomal RNA". Lineage: Eukaryota; Viridiplantae; Streptophyta; Magnoliopsida; Poales; Poaceae. The record is from RNAcentral.
AUGACUGACACAACCUGUCCUAUCAUGAGCUGGAACAUCCGAGGGCUGAACACACCGACGCGUCACGCAGUAGUCUGUGAAACGACAGAAACCCAUAGGCUAGCUAUCCUCUGUCUCCAGGAGACCAAAAUCGAAACCUGGAGCCGGCCACUAGUCAAGGACGUCGGCGGAGCAAGGCUCUCCGACUGCAUAGUGCUCCCCGCCUCCGGCACCAGGGGCGACGCUGCAAUCUUCUGGAACAGUUUGAUUGUGGACCUGCAAUCGCACGCCAUCGGCGUUUUCUCCAUCACCGCCCGCGUCACCAUU